Molecule: ribosomal RNA, 468 nt
Filed under: uncultured bacterium
Lineage: Bacteria
Description: partial 16S ribosomal RNA
Rfam family: Bacterial small subunit ribosomal RNA
Source: RNAcentral
GACGAACGCUGGCGGCGUGCUUAACACAUGCAAGUCGAACGGAAAGGCCCUGCUUUUGUGGGGUGCUCGAGUGGCGAACGGGUGAGUAACACGUGAGUAACCUGCCCUUGACUUUGGGAUAACUUCAGGAAACUGGGGCUAAUACCGGAUAGGAGCUCCUGCUGCAUGGUGGGGGUUGGAAAGUUUCGGCGGUUGGGGAUGGACUCGCGGCUUAUCAGCUUGUUGGUGGGGUAGUGGCUUACCAAGGCUUUGACGGGUAGCCGGCCUGAGAGGGUGACCGGGCAAAAUGGGAAUUGGGUAAGGGCCAGAACUCUAAGGGGGGGCAGAGGUGGGAAAAAUGGAAAAAGGGCGGAAGGCUGGAGGAGGAAAGGCGGGGUGGGGAAGAAGGGCUUUCGGGUGGAAACCGCUUUCGCCUGUGACGAAGCGUGAGUGACGGUAAUGGGUAAAGAAGCACCGGCUAACUACGUG